AAAUGGCGUGCUUAACACAUGCAAGUCGAGCGGAGAAAUGGGAGCUUGCUCCCAUUUCUCAGCGGCGGACGGGUGAGUAACACGUGGGCAACCUGCCCUACAGACUGGGAUAACUCCGGGAAACCGGAGCUAAUACCGGGUAAUACAUAGCAUCGCAUGAUGCAACGUUGAAAGUUGGCCUUUGGCUAACACUGUAGGAUGGGCCCGCGGCGCAUUAGCUAGUUGGUAAGGUAACGGCUUACCAAGGCCACGAUGCGUAGCCGACCUGAGAGGGUGAUCGGCCACACUGGGACUGAGACACGGCCCAGACUCCUACGGGAGGCAGCAGUAGGGAAUCUUCCGCAAUGGACGAAAGUCUGACGGAGCAACGCCGCGUGAGUGACGAAGGCCUUCGGGUCGUAAAGCUCUGUUGUUAGGGAAGAACAAGUACCGUCGAAUAGGGCGGUACUUGACGGACCACCCAG
Molecule: ribosomal RNA, 464 nt
Filed under: Bacillus sp. UmaJYNKR
Lineage: Bacteria; Bacillati; Bacillota; Bacilli; Caryophanales; Bacillaceae
Description: bacterial SSU rRNA
Rfam family: Bacterial small subunit ribosomal RNA
Source: RNAcentral